UACGGAGGGUGCAAGCGUUGUCCGGAUUUAUUGGGUUUAAAGGGUGCGUAGGCGGUUCUUUAAGUCUGGGGUGAAAGCCCGUUGCUCAACAACGGAACUGCCCUGGAAACUGGCGAACUUGAGUACAGACGAGGGUGGCGGAAUGGAUGGUGUAGCGGUGAAAUGCAUAGAUACCAUCCAGAACCCCGAUUGCGUAGGCAGCUGACUAGGCUGGUACUGACACUGAGGCACGAAAGCGUGGGGAGCGAACAGG
RNAcentral lists this ribosomal RNA (253 nucleotides) under uncultured bacterium. RNAcentral's name for it is "partial 16S ribosomal RNA". It matches the Rfam family "Bacterial small subunit ribosomal RNA", at positions 524 to 776 of the family's 1533-position model. The record is from RNAcentral.